AGUGAACGCUGGCGGCGUGCUUAACACAUGCAAGUCGAACGAGAACGGAUUAUAGCUUGCUAUAAUUGUCAGCUAAGUGGCGCACGGGUGAGUAAUGUAUAGGUAAUAUGCCUCUUACUAAGGGAUAACAAAUGGAAACGUUUGCUAAUACCUUAUACUCCUUAUUAACAGAAGUUAAUAAGGGAAAGAUUUAUUGGUAAGGGAUUAGCCUGUAUUGUAUCAGUUAGUUGGUGGGGUAAUGGCUUACCAAGACUAUGACACAUAACUGGUUUGAGAGGAUGAUCAGUUACACUUGAACUGAGACACGGUCCAGACUCCUACGGGAGGCAGCAGUGGGGAAUAUUGCACAAUGGACGAAAGUCUGAUGCAGCAACGCCGCGUGGAGGAUGACACAUUUCGGUGCGUAAACUCCUUUUAUAUGAGAAGAUAAUGACGGUAUUAUAUGAAUAAGCACCGGCUAACUCCGUGCCAGCCGCCGCCGUAA
Molecule: ribosomal RNA, 484 nt
Filed under: uncultured bacterium
Lineage: Bacteria
Description: partial 16S ribosomal RNA
Rfam family: Bacterial small subunit ribosomal RNA
Source: RNAcentral